Molecule: ribosomal RNA, 230 nt
Filed under: Desulfobacula phenolica
Lineage: Bacteria; Pseudomonadati; Thermodesulfobacteriota; Desulfobacteria; Desulfobacterales; Desulfobacteraceae
Description: 16S rRNA. Bacterial SSU
Rfam family: Bacterial small subunit ribosomal RNA
Source: RNAcentral
UAUAACUGGAGAGUUUGAUCCUGGCUCAGAAUGAACGCUGGCGGCGUGCUUAACACAUGCAAGUCGAACGAGAAAGGGGUUGCUUGCAAUCCUGAGUAGAGUGGCGCACGGGUGAGUAACACGUAGAUAAUCUACCUUCAAGCCCGGGAUAACUGCCCGAAAGGACAGCUAAUACCGGAUGAAGUUGGUUCACACAAGUGAAUUAAUGAAAGAUUGCCUCUUCUUGAAAG